GACGAACGCUGGCGGCGUGCUUAACACAUGCAAGUCGAACGGGCCCGCUCUCUUUUUUGGGGGUGGGUUGAGUGGCGAACGGGUGAGUAUCACGUGAGUAACCUGCCCCCUGCUCCUGGAUAACUGCUUGAAGGGGCGGCUAAUACGGGGUGUGCCGGCUGGUCCGCAUGGGCCUGGUCGGGAUAGUUUCAUCUUCGGGUGUUUCGGUGGGGGAUGGGCUCGCGGCCCAUCAGCUUGUUGGUGGGGUGAUGGCCCACCAAGGCGGUGACGGGUAGCCGGCCUGAGAGGGUGGGCGGCCACACUGGGACUGAGACACGGCCCAGACUCCGGCGGGAGGCAGCAGUGGGGGGUAUUGCACAAUGGGCGGAAGCCUGAUGCAGCGACGUCGCGUGAGGGAUGGAGGCCUUCGGGUUGUGAACCUCUUUCUCCGGUGGUGAAGGCCCUGUCCGUUGCGGCGGGGUUGACGGUAGCCGGGUAUGAAGCGCCGGCUAACUACGUG
RNAcentral lists this ribosomal RNA (499 nucleotides) under uncultured bacterium. Its description in RNAcentral is "partial 16S ribosomal RNA". It matches the Rfam family "Bacterial small subunit ribosomal RNA", at positions 28 to 507 of the family's 1533-position model. The record is from RNAcentral.